UUACAUUGCUUUUAAAUUAUGCAUAAAGAUGUUGUAUUGUCUUGAGGUGAUUAGCUGUCAAUUAAUUUUUAUACGACCGCAAAACAUUUUUUGUGGUCGUAUAUUGGUAUGACGUUGGCGUCGUCGUCGUCGUCGUCGUCGUCCGAAGUCACAUUAGUUUUCGCACUCUAACUUUAGUUUAAGUGAAUGGAUCUCAAUGAAAUUUUACCAUAAGGUUCAAUACCACAAAAGGAAGGUGGGGAUUGAUUUUGGGGGUUAUGGUACCAACAGUUAAGGAAUUAGGGGCAAAAAAGGGGCCAAAAAUAAGCAUUUUUGUAACUUCCAGAUAUAACUUGUGUGUAAGUGUAUGGAUCUCUCUGACAUUGAACCACAAGGUUCCAUAUCACAAAGGGAAUGCUGGGAUUGAUUUUGGGGGUAAUUGCCUCCAAAUUUUAAGAAUUAGGGGCCAAAAAGGGGCAAAAAACAAGCAUUUUUCUAGUUUCAUGACAAUAACAUGUGUGUAAGUGUAUGGAUAUUUAUGAAAUUGUACUACAAGGUUCCAUAUCACAAAGGGAAAGCUGGAAUUGAGUUUGGGGAUAAUUGCCUCCAAAUUUUAGGAAUUAGGGGCCAAAAAUAAGCAUUUUUCUAGUUUCCAGACAAUAACCUGUGUUCAAGUGUAUGGAUAUCUCUGAAAUUGUACUGCAAGGUACCAAACCACAAAGGGAAGGCUGGGAUUGAGUUUGGGGGUGAUGAAUCAUAAGGGGGUUCAAACAAUUUGGAGGGGAUUUUUUUUUUCAUUUUUUUUUCUUUAAAAUUUUCC
This is a long non-coding RNA of Mytilus californianus (California mussel), 799 nucleotides long. RefSeq lists it as uncharacterized. Lineage: Eukaryota; Metazoa; Mollusca; Bivalvia; Mytilida; Mytilidae. The record is from RefSeq and is a predicted model, not a curated record. The transcript is spliced from 2 exons.